This 465-nucleotide ribosomal RNA is filed under the name Vreelandella stevensii. RNAcentral's name for it is "partial 16S ribosomal RNA". It matches the Rfam family "Bacterial small subunit ribosomal RNA", at positions 338 to 795 of the family's 1533-position model. The record is from RNAcentral. Lineage: Bacteria; Pseudomonadati; Pseudomonadota; Gammaproteobacteria; Oceanospirillales; Halomonadaceae.
CCUACGGGUGGCUGCAGUGGGGAAUAUUGGACAAUGGGCGAAAGCCUGAUCCAGCCAUGCCGCGUGUGUGAAGAAGGCCUUCGGGUUGUAAAGCACUUUCAGUGGGGAAGAAAGCCUUGGGGCUAAUACCCUCGAGGAAGGACAUCACCCACAGAAGAAGCACCGGCUAACUCCGUGCCAGCAGCCGCGGUAAUACGGAGGGUGCGAGCGUUAAUCGGAAUUACUGGGCGUAAAGCGCGCGUAGGCGGUCUGAUAAGCCGGUUGUGAAAGCCCCGGGCUCAACCUGGGAACGGCAUCCGGAACUGUCAGGCUAGAGUGCAGGAGAGGAAGGUAGAAUUCCCGGUGUAGCGGUGAAAUGCGUAGAGAUCGGGAGGAAUACCAGUGGCGAAGGCGGCCUUCUGGACUGACACUGACGCUGAGGUGCGAAAGCGUGGGUAGCAAACAGGAUUAGAUACCCUCGUAGUC